This 466-nucleotide ribosomal RNA is filed under the name uncultured bacterium. RNAcentral's name for it is "bacterial SSU rRNA". It matches the Rfam family "Bacterial small subunit ribosomal RNA", at positions 328 to 792 of the family's 1533-position model. The record is from RNAcentral.
UGGCCAGACUCCUACGGGAGGCAGCAGUGAGGAAUAUUGGUCAAUGGGCGAGAGCCUGAACCAGCCAAGUCGCGUGAGGGAAGACGGUCCUAUGGCUUGUAAACCUCUUUUGCCGGGGAGCAAAAAGCGGUACGUGUACCGCAUCGAGAGUACCCGGAGAAAAAGCAUCGGCUAGCUCCGUGCCAGCAGCCGCGGUAAUACGGAGGAUGCGAGCGUUAUCCGGAUUUAUUGGGUUUAAAGGGUGCGCAGGCGGAGGUGCAAGUCAGCGGUAAAAUGUCGGGGCUCAACCCCGGCCGGCCGUUGAAACUGGCGUGCUCGAGUUGGAGAGAAGUAUGCGGAAUUCGUGGUGUAGCGGUGAAAUGCAUAGAUAUCACGAAGAACCCCGAUUGCGAAGGCAGCAUACCGGCUCCACACUGACGCUGAGGCACGAAAGCGUGGGUAUCGAACAGGAUUAGAUACCCGAGUA